RNAcentral lists this ribosomal RNA (255 nucleotides) under uncultured bacterium. RNAcentral describes it as "partial 16S ribosomal RNA". It matches the Rfam family "Bacterial small subunit ribosomal RNA", at positions 524 to 776 of the family's 1533-position model. The record is from RNAcentral.
GACGAAGGAUGCAAGCGUUAUCCGGAUUCAUUGGGUUUAAAGGGAGCGUAGGCGGACUUGUAAGUCAGUGGUGAAAUCUGUGGGCUUAACCCACAAACUGCCAUUGAUACUGCAGGUCUAGAGUACGGUUGCCGUUGGCGGAAUAUGACAUGUAGUGGUGAAAAUACUUAGAUAUGUCAUAGAACACCGAUUGCGAAGGCAGCUAACGAAGCUGUAACUGACGUGAGGCUCGAAAAGUGCGGGGGAUCAAACAGG